RNAcentral lists this ribosomal RNA (253 nucleotides) under uncultured bacterium. RNAcentral's name for it is "partial 16S ribosomal RNA". It matches the Rfam family "Bacterial small subunit ribosomal RNA", at positions 524 to 776 of the family's 1533-position model. The record is from RNAcentral.
GACAGAGGGUGCAAACGUUGCUCGGAAUUACUGGGCGUAAAGCGCGUGUAGGUGGAUUGGUGUGUCAGAUGUGAAAUCCCUGGGCUCAACCCAGGAACUGCACCUGAAACUACCAGUCUUGAGUGGUGGAGAGGGAAGUGGAAUUCCUGGUGUAGAGGUGAAAUUCGUAGAUAUCAGGAGGAACACCAGUGGCGAAGGCGGCUUCCUGGACACCAACUGACGCUGAGGGGCGAAAGUGUGGGGAGCGAACAGG